This 478-nucleotide ribosomal RNA is filed under the name uncultured bacterium. RNAcentral's name for it is "partial 16S ribosomal RNA". It matches the Rfam family "Bacterial small subunit ribosomal RNA", at positions 28 to 507 of the family's 1533-position model. The record is from RNAcentral.
GAUGAACGCUGGCGGCGUGCCUAACACAUGCAAGUCGAACGGAGUCCAGCCUUUAAGACCUUCGGGUCAAAGAGGGGAAGACUGAGUGGCGGACGGGUGAGUAACACGUGGGCAACCUGGCUCAUAGAGGGGGAUAACAGAGAGAAAUUUCUGCUGAUACCGCAUAAGCACACACUGCCGCAUGGCAGAGGGUGAAAAGAGAAUCGCUAUGAGAUGGACCCGCGUCUGAUUAGCCAGUUGGCAGGGUAAGAGCCUACCAAAGCGACGAUCAGUAGCCGAUCUGAGAGGAUGAACGGCCACAUUGGGACUGAGACACGGCCCAAACUCCUACGGGAGGCAGCAGUGGGGGAUAUUGCACAAUGGGGGGAACCCUGAUGCAGCGACGCCGCGUGAGUGAAGAAGUAUUUCGGUAUGUAAAGCUCUAUCAGCAGGGAAGAUAAUGACAGUACCUGAAUAAGAAGCCCCGGCUAACUACGUG